Molecule: long non-coding RNA, 290 nt
Filed under: Homo sapiens (human)
Lineage: Eukaryota; Metazoa; Chordata; Mammalia; Primates; Hominidae
Description: non-protein coding lnc-OR2H2-3:1
Source: RNAcentral
CUGGCCCAUGGUUGCAGACCUCUGUGCCAGCCUCCCCUAGACAAGAGCGCCGUGUCGAGGAGAAGAAAUCGGCUCAAGCUCUGGGCCCAUGAUGCCUGCUCCUUCCAAAGACUGUGGCAGAUUACGCCAACUGGGAUCCGGCGGUCGCAAGGUCUAGAGGAGUCAAGAAAGCCAUCACCAACGUCGUUCAGCAGGAAGUAAAAUCCCUUUGUGUCUUGGAAGCCUCCCAGGUUCCUGCAGAAGAAGCUGUUUCUGGAGCUAGUGAGCCCUAUGACAUCAUCGACAGCAGU